This 29-nucleotide small RNA is filed under the name Bombyx mori (domestic silkworm). RNAcentral describes it as "ovarian small RNA-7264". Lineage: Eukaryota; Metazoa; Arthropoda; Insecta; Lepidoptera; Bombycidae. The record is from RNAcentral.
UCCCAGCUUGUUAGCGGCUUCUGCCCAUG